AAAGAAUCUUGAAUAAAGAUUUACUUAGAAUUUCUGUCUGGAGUGAAAAGGCCGUUGAACUUUCUGGCUGACAGUUGGAUGGCAAUGGUCUUUCCUUUCACUUACGCUCCAAGGUGCUGUCAUGGCAGUGCUGAUCUCUCUACAGUCAUCAGUGGGAAGUUCCUUACCUUGACAGAAAUGGAGAUGGAGAAUCCUGAAAUCUUCCAUAAGUUCUUGCACUCAAGGAAACUUUAUUUUCCUUAGAUUCUAGGAAGAAAAGAAAUUGAGCUAACCAUGCAAAUGUCCCUCUACUCUGCCUCCAGCUAGAAGCUUAAGUUAUAAGCUUAACAGUGCUGAAUUGUAGGCAACUCCCAUUCAGUGCUUUCUAGUUCAGUGGCUCCAUGAAGACCUUUCUGAAGGUGCAGCUCUUUAAAAAGACUCUGUGGCAGCACAACUGAAGCAUUCGCUGCUAAAUAUAGAAAUGCA
This 465-nucleotide long non-coding RNA is filed under the name Numida meleagris (helmeted guineafowl). Its description in RNAcentral is "lncRNA (ENSNMEG00000009748.1)". Lineage: Eukaryota; Metazoa; Chordata; Aves; Galliformes; Numididae. The record is from RNAcentral.